Molecule: unclassified non-coding RNA, 333 nt
Filed under: soil metagenome
Description: partial contains 5.8S ribosomal RNA, internal transcribed spacer 2, and large subunit ribosomal RNA
Rfam family: 5.8S ribosomal RNA (bases 1-120)
Source: RNAcentral
GAUGAAGAACGCAGCGAAAUGCGAUAAGUAGUGUGAAUUGCAGAAUUCAGUGAAUCAUCGAAUCUUUGAACGCACAUUGCGCCCUUUGGUAUUCCUUAGGGCAUGCCUGUUCGAGCGUCAUUUAAACCUUCAAGCUAAGCUUGGUGUUGGGUGACUGUCCGCUUCACGGCGGACUCGCCUCAAAAUUAUUGGCGGCCGGUACAUUGGCUUCGAGCGCAGCAGAAACGCGAACUCGGGCCCGUCGUAUUGGCUCCCAGAAGCUAUCUUCACAAUUUUGACCUCGGAUCAGGUAGGGAUACCCGCUGAACUUAAGCAUAUCAAUAAGCGGAGGAA